CGCUCUUUGAAAAGGAAUACUAAAAUAUAAAGAGUCCUGCCUGCCCAGUGACAGAAGUUAAACGGCCGCGGUAUUUUGACCGUGCAAAGGUAGCAUAAUCAUUUGCCUUUUAAAUGGAGGCUGGAAUGAAUGGCAAGACGGAAGUUUAGCUGUCUCUCUUUUAGAGUCUUGAAUUUAUCAUCUUCGUGAAGAGGCGGAGAUAAAGUCGUAGGACGAGAAGACCCUGUCGAGCUUAAGCUAUACGUUAGAGUUAUAAAAUUUUUGUUUUUAAGCUAAUUUAAGAAUAAGUUUAGUUUUACUUGGUACAGAAUUUUACUGCUAAUGAGUUGUUUUGGUUGGGGCAACCACGGAGAAAACAAACCCUCCGCUAAGAAAUUAAAGAAAAACUUACUAUUUUGAAAAGUCUUUGAUUAAAAAGUGAUCCACUAAAAAGUGAUCAAAGGAACAAGUUACCGCAGGGAUAACAGCGUAAUUUUUUUGGAGAGUUCAUAUUGAUAAAAAAGUUUGCGACCUCGAUGUUGGAUCGGGAUUUCCAGGAGAUGCAGCAGUUUCCAAGGGUUGGUCUGUUCGACCAUUAAAGUCCU
Molecule: ribosomal RNA, 584 nt
Filed under: Asteroidea sp. RCMBAR067
Lineage: Eukaryota; Metazoa; Echinodermata; Asteroidea
Description: partial 16S ribosomal RNA
Rfam family: Bacterial large subunit ribosomal RNA
Source: RNAcentral